UGAAGGAAAGGUGAAAAGGACCCCGGGAGGGGAGUGAAAGAGAACCUGAAACCCUAUGUUUACAAGCAGAUAGAGCGAUUUAAGGCGCGAUAUCGUACUUUUUGUAGAACGGUCCAGCGAGUUAUUGUAUAUGGCGAGGUUAAGUUCUGAAUAAGGAAUGGAGCCGAAGAGAAAUCGAGUCUGAAUAGGGCGAUAUAAGUCAUAUAUAAUAGACCCGAAACCGGGUGACCUAUCCAUGGUCAGGAUGAAGCUGAAGUAAAAUUCAGUGGAGGUCCGAACUGAUUGUCGUUAAAAAGGCACCGGAUGAACUGUGGAUAGCGGAGAAAUUCCAAUCGAACUCGGAGAUAGCUGGUUCUCCUCGAAAUAGCUUUAGGGCUAGCCUUGAGGUAAAAGAAUUAUGGGGGUAGAGCACUGAAUGAGGUAGGGGCCAAACCAGGUUACUGAACUCUAUCAAACUGCGAAUACCAUAAUUAGAAUACUCAGGAGUCAGACUGCGGGAGCUAAGUUCCGUGGUCAAAAGGGAAAGAGCCCAGACCGACAAUUAAGGUCCCAAAGAUAUAGUUAAGUGGAAAACGAUGUGAAUUUGCAUAAACAACCAGGAUGUUGGCUCAGAAGCAGCCACUCAUUCAAAGAGUGCGUAACAGCUCACUGGUCGAGUGAAUUUGCGCGGAAAAUUACCGGGGCUAAACUAUACACCGAAAUUUCGGAUUUACGUAUGAAAAUAUGUAAGUGGUAGAGGAGCAUUCUGUAGUAGGACGAAGUCAAAGCGAAAGCAUUGGUGGACGAGGCAGAAGAGAGAAUGCUGGAAUAAGUAGCGAGAGCAAGGUGAGAAUCCUUGCCGUCGAAAGUCUAAGGUUUCCUGGGGAAGGUUCGUCCGCCCAGGGUAAGUCGGGGCCUAAGGAGAGGCCGAAAGGCGUAUCUGAUGGAUAGCAGGUGGAGAUUCCUGCACUAUAGCUAGUUUUAAAAGAUGCAAGGGACGCAGUAGAGGAAGAUAACCAAGGAAGAGGAAAGACUUGGUCCGCAAGGGAUAGUGAAAAUUAAUAGUAACGAAAUAUCAAGAAUCACACUGACGAGAAAAGCUUGUAGAUAUUAACUAGAAAUACCCGUACCGCAAACCGACACAGGUAGAUGAGGAGAGGAUCCUAAGACGAGCGGGAGAAGCAUUGUUAAGGAACUCGGCAAAAUAACCCCGUAACUUCGGGAGAAGGGGAACCUAAGUAAAAUUAGGUCGCAGAGAAAAGGCCCAAGCAACUGUUUAACAAAAACACAGGUUUCUGCAAAAUCGAAAGAUGAAGUAUAGGAGCUGACGCCUGCCCAGUGCUGGAAGGUUAAGGGAAAGAGUUAGACGUAAGUCGAAGCUUAGAACUAAAGCCCCAGUGAACGGCGGCCGUAACUAUAACGGUCCUAAGGUAGCGAAAUUCCUUGUCAGGUAAGUUCUGACCCGCACGAAAGGCGUAAUGAUUUGGGCACUGUCUCGACAAUGUACCCGGCGAAAUUGUAGUACUAGUGAAGAUGCUAGUUACCUGCGACAAGACAGAAAGACCCCAUGGAGCUUUACUGCAGUUUGAUACUGGGUUUCGAUAAGUUAUGUACAGGAUAGGUGGGAGACAAAGAAAGAAAGGCGUCAGCUUUUCCGGAGUCACCGUUGGGAUACCACCCUUAAUUUGUUGGAAUUCUAACUAGUGGUCAUGAUCUGGCCAGAGGACAAUGUCAGACGGGCAGUUUGACUGGGGCGGUCGCCUCCAAAAGAGUAACGGAGGCGCCCAAAGGUUCCCUCAGUGCGGACAGAAAUCGCACGAAAGAGUGUAAAGGCAGAAGGGAGCUUAACUGGAAGAUAGACAUAUCGAGCAGAUACGAAAGUAGGGCUUAGUGAUCCGGUGGAUAUUGAAUGGAAAAGCCAUCGCUCAACGGACAAAAGUUACCCUGGGGAUAACAGGCUUAUCUCCCCCAAGAGUUCACAUCGACGGGGAGGUUUGGCACCUCGAUGUCGGCUCAUCGCAUCCUGGAGCUGUAGCAGGUUCCAAGGGUUGGGCUGUUCGCCCAUUAAAGCGGUACGCGAGCUGGGUUCAGAACGUCGUGAGACAGUUCGGUCCUUAUCUGUCGCAGGCGGAAGAUAUUUGAGAGGAGCUGUCCUUAGUACGAGAGGACCAGGAUGGACAUACCGAUGGUGUAUCAGUUGUCACACCAGUGGCACGGCUGAGUAGCCAAGUAUGGACGGGAUAAACGCUGAAAGCAUCUAAGUGUGAAGCCCACCUCAAGAUAAGAUAUCUCAUAUCGU
RNAcentral lists this ribosomal RNA (2278 nucleotides) under human gut metagenome. RNAcentral's name for it is "bacterial LSU rRNA". It matches the Rfam family "Bacterial large subunit ribosomal RNA", at positions 504 to 2822 of the family's 2925-position model. The record is from RNAcentral.